This 214-nucleotide ribosomal RNA is filed under the name uncultured bacterium. RNAcentral's name for it is "partial 16S ribosomal RNA". It matches the Rfam family "Bacterial small subunit ribosomal RNA", at positions 1288 to 1500 of the family's 1533-position model. The record is from RNAcentral.
CCAGUUCGGAUUGUAGUCUGCAACCCGCCCUGCGUGAAGUCGGAAUCGCUAGUAAUCGCGGAUCAGCAUGCCGCGGUGAAUACGUUCCCGGGCCUUGUACACACCGCCCGUCACACCAUGAGAGUCGGGAACACCCGAAGUCCGUAGCCUAACCGCAAGGAGGGCGCGGCCGAAGGUGGGUUCGAUAAUUGGGGUGAAGUCGUAACAAGGUACC